Cyprinus carpio carpio is the source of this 1165-nucleotide long non-coding RNA. NCBI's taxonomy places the organism in Eukaryota, Metazoa, Chordata, Actinopteri, Cypriniformes, Cyprinidae. The record is from Ensembl.
GUUGUGUUGUCUUGUGUUGUUUUUCCAUUGUGUUGUGCUAAUUGAAUUGUGUUGUCUUGUUUCUGUUGUGUUGUUUUGUUUCCGUUGUGUUGUGUUAAUUUAAUUGUGUUGUGUCUUGUUUUCGUUGUGUUGUGCUUAUUUAAUUGUAUUGUGUCUUGUUUCCAUUGUGUUGUGCUUAUUUAAUUGUAUUGUGUCUUGUUUCUGUUGUGCUUAUUUAAUUGUGUUGUGUCUUGUUUCUGUUGUGCUAAUUUAAUUGUGUUGUGUCUUGUUUCUGCUGUGUUGUGCUUAUUUAAUUGUGUUGUGUCUUGUUUUCGUUGUGUGUUUUUUCCACUGUGUUGUGCUAAUUUAAUUGUAUUGUGUCUUGUUUCCGUUGUGUGUUUGUCACAGUUUCCACUGUGUUGUGCUAAUUUAAUUGUGUUGUCUUGUUUUCAUUGUUGUGCUAAUUUAAUUGUGUUGUGUCUUGUUUUCGUUGUGUUGUGCUAAUUUAAUUGUGCUGUGUCUUGUUUUCGUUGUGUUGUAUUGUUUUGUUUCCUUUGUGUUGUGUCUUGUUUUCAUUGUGUUGUGCUAAUUUGUGUUCUCUUGUUUUCAUUGUUGUGCUAAUUUAAUUGUGUUGUGUCUUGUUUCCAUUGUGUUGUGUCUUCUUUCUGUUGUGCUAAUUUAAUUGUGUUGUGUCUUGUUUUCGUUGUGUUGUGCUAAUUUGUGUUCUCUUGUUUUCAUUGUUGUGCUAAUUGAAUUUGCUGUGUCUUUUUUUGUUGUGUUGUAUUGUUUUGUUUCCUUUGUGUUGUGUCUUGUUUCCGUUGUGUUGUGCUAAUUUAAUUGUGUUGUGUCUUGUUUCUGCUGUGUUGUGCUAAUUUAAUUGUGUUGUGUCUUGUUUUCGUUGUGUUGUGCUAAUUUAAUUGUGUUGUGUCUUGUUUCUGCUGUGUUGUGCUAAUUUAAUUGUGUUGUGUCUUGUUUUCAUUGUGUUGUGCUAAUUUAAUUGUGUUGUGUUUUGUUUUCGUUGUGUUGUGUUGUCUUGUUUUGUUUCCUUUGUGUUGUGUCUUGUUUUCGUUGUGUUGUGCUAAUUUAAUUGUGUCGUGUCUUGUUUUCGUUGUGUUGUACUAAUGCCUUGGCGUUGCAGCUUGUUUUAGUAUUUUAUUUAUAUACUAUAAAUAAAUAAUUUGAAUUA